This 468-nucleotide ribosomal RNA is filed under the name uncultured bacterium. RNAcentral's name for it is "partial 16S ribosomal RNA". It matches the Rfam family "Bacterial small subunit ribosomal RNA", at positions 28 to 507 of the family's 1533-position model. The record is from RNAcentral.
GACGAACGCUGGCGGCGUGCUUAACACAUGCAAGUCGAACGGAAAGGCCCUGCGUUUGUGGGGUGCUCGUUUGGCGAACGGGUGAGUAACACGUGUGUAACCUGUCCCUGUCUUUGGGAUAUCUUCAGGAAACUGGGGCUAUUACCGGAUAGGAGCUCUUGCUGCAUGUUGGGGGUUGGAAAGAUUCGGCGGUUGGGGCUGGACUCGCGGCUUAUCCGCUUGUUUGUGGGGUAGUGGUAUACCAAGGCUUAGACGGGUAGCCGGCAUUAGAGGGGGAACGGCGACAAGGCGACUGCGGGACGGCGCAGACUGGUACGUGAGGCAGCAGUGGAGAGUAUUGCACAAUAGGGCGAAGCGUGAUGCAGCAACGCCGCGUGCGUAAUGAUGGCUUACGGGUUAAAAACAGAUUUCGCCUGAGACGAAGCGUGAGUGACGGUAAUGGGUAAGGAAGCACCGGCUAACUACGUG